AUUGAACGCUGGCGGCAGGCCUAACACAUGCAAGUCGAACGGAUGAAGGGAGCUUGCUCCUGGAUUCAGCGGCGGACGGGUGAGUAAUGCCUAGGAAUCUGCCUGGUAGUGGGGGAUAACGUCCGGAAACGGGCGCUAAUACCGCAUACGUCCUGAGGGAGAAAGUGGGGGAUCUUCGGACCUCACGCUAUCAGAUGAGCCUAGGUCGGAUUAGCUAGUUGGUGGGGUAAAGGCCUACCAAGGCGACGAUCCGUAACUGGUCUGAGAGGAUGAUCAGUCACCCUGGAACUUAGACACGGUCCAGACUCCCAAGGGAGGCAGCAGUGGGGAAUAUUGGACAAUGGGCGAAAGCCUGAUCCAGCCAUGCCGCGUGUGUGAAGAAGGUCUUCGGAUUGUAAAGCACUUUAAGUUGGGAGGAAGGGCAGUAAGUUAAUACCUAGCUGUUUUGACGUUACCAACAGAAUAAGCACCGGCUAACUUCGUG
Molecule: ribosomal RNA, 484 nt
Filed under: uncultured bacterium
Lineage: Bacteria
Description: partial 16S ribosomal RNA
Rfam family: Bacterial small subunit ribosomal RNA
Source: RNAcentral